AACGAACGCUGGCGGCAUGCCUAACACAUGCAAGUCGAACGAGACCUUCGGGUCUAGGGGCGCACGGGUGCGUAACGCGUGGGAACCUGCCCUUAGGGUCGGAAUAACUCCCCGAAAGGGGUGCUAAUACCGGAUAAUGGCUUCGGACCAAAGAUUUAUCGCCUUUGGAUGGGCCCGCGUUGGAUUAGGUAGUUGGUACGGUAAAAGCCUACCAAGGCGACGAUCCAUAGCUGGUCUGAGAGGAUGAUCAGCGACACUGGGACUGAGACACGGCCCAGACUCCUACGGGAGGCAGCAGUGGGGAAUAUUGGACAGUGGGCGAAAGCCUGAUCCAGCAAUGCCGCGUGAGUGAUGAAGGUCUUAGGGUUGUAAAGCUCUUUUAACCGGGAUGAUAAUGACAGUACCGGGAGAAUAAGCUCCGGCUAACUCCGUG
This 433-nucleotide ribosomal RNA is filed under the name uncultured bacterium. RNAcentral describes it as "partial 16S ribosomal RNA". It matches the Rfam family "Bacterial small subunit ribosomal RNA", at positions 29 to 507 of the family's 1533-position model. The record is from RNAcentral.